UGUAACAUCUUAACAUCUUAAGUCCCAACACCAAAGUGAUCCUUACCUAGUGAUUUACUCCCAAAGUGCAGCGCAAAGGAAUAAUGGCAAUGGUGAGGCAAUGAUUGUGGUCUUUGUCAUGACCCGGUGAAGGAUCCAUUUUGAAGAGGAUGAGAUAUCCAAAGUAUGUAGUGUGAUUGGCAGGCCACCUCAGAGGAAGGUGGACAGACACGUGAGCAUGUCCUCCUAGCCAAAACAUUCGAUGUCUGGUGUCUUUAAGGUAAAUAUUUUUGUCAACAGAAUGGCUGAUCCGACUUUCGAAUGGUCUAUUGAAAGGUCCAAUGAAUCUGCGGAUACAAUGUCAAGCUGCAUUCACUGGAAGUUCGGCAACUGGUUCUAAGCCUGUCUCUAUGAAACUUGGUGGUAAAAGUCCAAUUGCAAUUUUUGAAGAUACAGAUCUUGAUAAAGCUGCCGAGUGGAAUAUUUUUGGUUUCUUUUGGACAAAUGGCCAAAUCUAUAGUGCAACAUCUCGUCUUUUAGUGCAUUGAUGUACUGAGAUUCGUCAUGGAAAGUGGUGACAAGGGUUGUGAGGUUGUUUUCUCAACUGCAGAGUAAGAUGUCAUGUGCUUCUUUGAGAGUUCUCUUGAUAUACUGGUGUUGAUGGUAGUUUUUAACUUAGGGAUAAAAUCGUAAAACCUUACAUCUGACGUGACGUCACUGGGACCACUAGCGCAUUUAUUGAAUCAUUCAACACGCCUAUGUAAGAAUUACCAGGGUAC
Long non-coding RNA from Papaver somniferum (opium poppy), 758 nucleotides. RefSeq lists it as uncharacterized. The transcript is spliced from 7 exons. The record is from RefSeq and is a predicted model, not a curated record. NCBI's taxonomy places the organism in Eukaryota, Viridiplantae, Streptophyta, Magnoliopsida, Ranunculales, Papaveraceae.